CCUACGGGAGGCAGCAGUGGGGGAUAUUGCACAAUGGGGGAAACCCUGAUGCAGCAACGCCGCGUGAGUGAAGAAGUAUUUCGGUAUGGAAAGCUCUAUCAGCAGGGAAGAGAAUGACGGUACCUGACUAAGAAGCCCCGGCUAACUACGGGCCAGCAGCCGCGGUAAUACGUAGGGGGCGAGCGUUAUCCGGAUGUACUGGGUGUAAAGGGAGCGUAGACGGCUUGUAAAGUCUGAAGUGAAAGCCCGGGGCUUAACCCCGGAACGGCUUUGGAAACUGGGCAGCUAGAGUGCGGGAGAGGUAAGCGGAAUUCGUAGUGUAGCGGUGAAAUGCGUAGAUAUUAGGAGGAACACCGGUGGCGAAGGCAGCUUACUGGACAGUAACUGACGUUGAGGCUCGAAAGCGUGGGGAGCAAACAGGAUUAGAUACCCCGGUAGUC
Molecule: ribosomal RNA, 440 nt
Filed under: uncultured bacterium
Lineage: Bacteria
Description: partial 16S ribosomal RNA
Rfam family: Bacterial small subunit ribosomal RNA
Source: RNAcentral